UCUGUAUUUCUCUGUGUUGACCCGUGAUGGACUGUUGGACCGUAAAUUAUGUACCCUACUUCUUGCCCCUUGACGACUAGAUGUGUGGAUUAAAAAAGAAAAGGUAAAAGGCAGGAUUGAACCAGCUUCCCAAGCGGACGUCAUUGCUGAUGUAGAUGGCAUGGACCUCAAUUCUGCUGUCGAGUCGCUGAAGCAAGUACUUCACCUAGGACAGAACGAGAAGAUAAGCAAGAGCGCACUUACACGAAAGGAGCCAGCUAUGAGAGACCUUCUCAGAUUUCCUGGGUCUGCUGGGGAAUCCUAUUCCCAUGCGCUGCUUUUGGCAUGGAGGAAUCCGUAGCCGAGCCGACCUGCGCUGAGCCCGACUGACAAAACUCAAGCCUAUUACAAUGCUCAGUGAUCCCAGAUGACCAAUGGUCAGGUUCUUUCCAUCCCUCUCUUUGUGCUCGUCUGCCUCCUUCCCUCUCUGUGAUUGUGCUCUACUUGACAAGAUGAGGUUGUCUCUCUCCUGAGUUUCCUAGCUCAGCUUGCUCGAAUUUGUUCACUUUUGCUUCCUGCCUUACUUCCCUGGCUUCCUGAUAUCUCUCUAGAACCAUUUGUCAGCUCCUUGCUUAAGGUCAGAAGUGCAGUUUUGACUUUCUCAUUGACUGAAUAAAUUAAUGCUUUUGUUGCAGGCUACUUUUUGUAGCUUUUAGUUCUUCACUUUCACAGUUGUCACGAAACAUUAAAAAACAAUUACUUAAAUAUGCUGUAAAAACACCAUGUACGUGACAAGACACAAACUGCAGACCAUUUUUUUUAAAAUUCUGUGUCAAAGCAAACUGCUAUUAAAAUAUUGUAUAAGUUAUGCUGCUCACCAAUAGGCACAGUUUUUGACAAGGUUAUAAUGGAUCUUAGAGUAUACAUAGCCAUGGCUUAAUUAAAGUUUUUGUGUCUUGAAAAUAUGUAAUAAUUCAAAACUUUGACUGUAACCUUGAAUGAAACCUUGUAUUCUGUACAAUUCUACUGAAAAACAAGCAUAUGUGGUGGUGGAAGGAUGUGAAAAAAAGAACAUGCAAUAAAUAACUAGGAUGUUUUAUUUUUUUCCCCCAGUGUGUUCACAUUUGUUUCAGUAUUCAGGUUUUUUUGGAAGGAGUCUAUCAGCACGCCACAUUUUGACUAGCUAAUGUUGAAUUGCUCUAUCAUAAGGUUGUCUAAAUCUAUCAGCUUGUAGGCACAAGCAUUAUUCACAGUUUUCUUUAGGAAAUUCCAUUGAUUUUUUCGCUAGGCCACUCCAAAACUUUACUUGUCCUUGCUGAAAUCUACUUUUGUUGAUUUGAAUGUACACCCCAACUCACUGUGAUG
Molecule: long non-coding RNA, 1344 nt
Organism: Xiphophorus maculatus (southern platyfish)
Lineage: Eukaryota; Metazoa; Chordata; Actinopteri; Cyprinodontiformes; Poeciliidae
Exons: 3
Source: RefSeq, a predicted model, not a curated record